UACAAUGGCAGGUACAGAGGGGUGCUACCGGGUGACCGGAUGCCGAUCUCGAAAACCUGUCCCAGUUCGGACUGGAGUCUGCAACCCGACUCCACGAAGUUGGAUUCGCUAGUAAUCGCGCAUCAGCCAUGGCGCGGUGAAUACGUUCCCGGGCCUUGUACACACCGCCCGUCAAGCCAUGGGAGCCGGGGGCGCCUGAAGUCCGGGACCGCGAGGACCGGCCUAAGGCGAAACUGGUGACUGGGGCUAAGUCGUAACAAGGUAGC
This 266-nucleotide ribosomal RNA is filed under the name uncultured bacterium. RNAcentral's name for it is "partial 16S ribosomal RNA". It matches the Rfam family "Bacterial small subunit ribosomal RNA", at positions 1226 to 1500 of the family's 1533-position model. The record is from RNAcentral.